RNAcentral lists this ribosomal RNA (253 nucleotides) under uncultured bacterium. RNAcentral's name for it is "partial 16S ribosomal RNA". It matches the Rfam family "Bacterial small subunit ribosomal RNA", at positions 524 to 776 of the family's 1533-position model. The record is from RNAcentral.
UACGUAGGGUGCAAGCGUUAAUCGGAAUUACUGGGCGUAAAGCGUGCGCAGGCGGUUUCGUAAGUCUGUCGUGAAAUCCCCGGGCUUAACCUGGGAAUGGCGAUGGAGACUGCGAGGCUAGAGUUUGGCAGAGGGGGGUAGAAUUCCACGUGUAGCAGUGAAAUGCGUAGAGAUGUGGAGGAACACCGAUGGCGAAGGCAGCUCCCUGGGUCAAAACUGACGCUCAUGCACGAAAGCGUGGGGAGCAAACAGG